GUAAUCACAGCUAUUCGGGAGGCUGAGAUAGGAAAAUUGCUUGAACCCGGGAGGUGGAGGUUGCAGUGAGCCAAGAUCGUGGCCACUGCACUCUAGCCUGGUCAACAGAGCAAGACUCCAUCUCAAAAAAAAAAAAAAAAUCUCCUCUCCAGUAUUAGUCAUUUCUUGUUUCUGGCUCUGAGAGAAGCAACAUAUAACAUACCUGUUAAAAUUCAUAAGACAUUUGUGGGUAGUUAUUAAUCUUUUACCAAUUGUAAAUGUGGAUACUUAUCUUACCGUUUUUGCUUUUAGGUCUGGUAACAGUGAACACCAUCAAGCACAUCUACGGUAAUUACUAUGUGCUGGACCCUCUUCUAAAUGCUUCGAGUAUUUUAAUUAAUUUAAUCUUCACAGCAAAACAGCUUUUCUCUCAUGAGAAUGGAGUGAAGAGAUUCUGUCCAAGAUGGCCGAAUAGGAACAGCUCCAGUCUACAUCUCCCAGCGUGAGCGACGCAGAAGAUGGGUGAUUUCUGCAUUUCCAACUGAGGUACCGGGUUCAUCUCACUGGGGCUCGUUAGACAGUGGGCACAGGACAGUGGGUGCAGCCCACCGACCAUGAGCUGAAGCAGGGCGAGUCAUCGCCUCACCGGGGAAGCACAAGGGGUCAGAGAAUUCCCUGUACAUGAAAGUUACCUCCACCAAUACAACACAACUAUUUUACUCAAAAUAUUCAUGGUUUUCUAAAUGAUCAGAGGUUUCAAAAACUGUAUUUGUGAAUAUAUCUAUUAGCGGUAUAUUAAAAAGGAUCAUGACCAAUGCUAGAUAGACAUUGGAAAGUUUGUUAUCCAAUGAAGUAAAUUGUUCUUAGAGUUAUAAGUAAAACCUACCACCAGAAAAGCUAAAUAAAAU
RNAcentral lists this long non-coding RNA (887 nucleotides) under Homo sapiens (human). RNAcentral's name for it is "HSALNT0018985". The record is from RNAcentral. Lineage: Eukaryota; Metazoa; Chordata; Mammalia; Primates; Hominidae.